RNAcentral lists this transfer RNA (71 nucleotides) under Fukomys damarensis (Damara mole-rat). It matches the Rfam family "tRNA". Rfam says of the family: Transfer RNA (tRNA) molecules are approximately 80 nucleotides in length. Their secondary structure includes four short double-helical elements and three loops (D, anti-codon, and T loops). Further hydrogen bonds mediate the characteristic L-shaped molecular structure. tRNAs have two regions of fundamental functional importance: the anti-codon, which is responsible for specific mRNA codon recognition, and the 3' end, to which the tRNAs corresponding amino acid is attached (by aminoacyl-tRNA synthetases). tRNAs cope with the degeneracy of the genetic code in two manners: having more than one tRNA (with a specific anti-codon) for a particular amino acid; and 'wobble' base-pairing, i.e. permitting non-standard base-pairing at the 3rd anti-codon position. The record is from Rfam by way of RNAcentral. Lineage: Eukaryota; Metazoa; Chordata; Mammalia; Rodentia; Bathyergidae.
GGGGUUUUAGCUCAGUGGUAGAGUGCUUGUCUAGCAUACACGAGACCCUGGGUUCAAUCCCUAGUACCACA